Molecule: ribosomal RNA, 482 nt
Filed under: uncultured bacterium
Lineage: Bacteria
Description: partial 16S ribosomal RNA
Rfam family: Bacterial small subunit ribosomal RNA
Source: RNAcentral
AUUGAACGCUGGCGGCAUGCCUUACACAUGCAAGUCGAACGGUAACGGGCCUUCGGGUGCCGACGAGUGGCGAACGGGGGAGUAAUACAUCGGAACGUGCCCGAUCGUGGGGGGUAACGAGGCGAAAGCUUUGCUAAUACCGCAUACGAUCUACGGAUGAAAGCAGGGGACCGCAAGGCCUUGCGCGGACGGAGCGGCCGAUGGCAGAUUAGGUAGUUGGUGGGAUAAAAGCUUACCAAGCCGACGAUCUGUAGCUGGUCUGAGAGGAUGAUCAGCCACACUGGGACUGAGACACGGCCCAGACUCCGACGGGAGGCAGCAGUGGGGAAUUUUGGACAAUGGGCGCAAGCCUGAUCCAGCCAUGCCGCGUGCAGGAUGAAGGCCUUCGGGUUGUAAACUGCUUUUGUACGGAAGGAAAAGCCUUCUUUUAAUACAGGAGGGUCAUGACGGUACCGGAAGAAUAAGCACCGGCUAACUACGUG